This 1242-nucleotide long non-coding RNA is filed under the name Mus musculus (house mouse). RNAcentral describes it as "long non-coding RNA chr12:8258405-8259647". Lineage: Eukaryota; Metazoa; Chordata; Mammalia; Rodentia; Muridae. The record is from RNAcentral.
AUCAAGGUGGGAGCAUGGCAGUUUCCAGGCAGGCAUGGUGCAGGCCAAGCUGAGAGUUCUACAUUUUCAUCUGAAGGUGGCUAGUGGAAGACUGACUUCCAGGCUGCUAGGAUGAGGGUCUUAAGCCCACACCCACAGUGACACACCUAAUCCAACAAGGCCACACCUCCUCAUAGGGCCACACAAGCAUAUAUAAACCAUCACAACCGCUAUGUGUGUGUUUUCAAAGGGACACUAAGAGAGGGAAACAUGACUUUACACUGAAAGAGAUAAAGCAGAACUAGGGAUACCUGGAGGCCUACACUUUAGUUGAUUUUUGAAGGGUAGUUUAUAUUGCAUACUUGCGAAGAACUGCUGGCAAUCAUGGAAGGAAGGCUCUGUGCUAUGUUUCCUAUUUGUAUGUCGUAGAGGAGGAAAGCACUCAACCAUUACUGUACCAAGUGGGAACCGUAAUGAACAAACGGUAAGGGUGUGAUGGUGUUCUCCUGACAUGUCAAAGUAUUACUGUCAUGGCCUCCCUUAGUCACAGCACACAGCAUCGCCGUUGCUCUUCCAGAACAAUAGUGCCUAUGUAAUAAGCUAACUAAAUGGGGGCAUAUGAACAGCUUUUUUAAAAAAGAUUUAUUUAUUAUUAUAUCUAAGUACACUGUAGCUGUCUUCAGAUGCACCAGAAGAGGGCUUCAGAUCUCAUUACAGAUGGUUGUGGGCCACCAUGUGGUUGCUGGGAUUUGAACUCAGGACCUUCAGAAGAACAGUCGGUGCUCUUAACCAUUUAGCCAUCUCUCCAGCCCCAUAUGAGCAGCUUUUAAGAUUUACUAUUUUUAAUAUUAAAUUCUAUUACAUGUUUGAUUUCCAGGUACUGUGAAAAAUAAAUGCUUCUUAGUGAGCUACACGUCAUGCCUAAGCAUCGUGCUCUUUGCCCACAGCCUCGUCUCAGAAUGUUUCUUAACUUCUUUUCAAAAAAACAAAUGCCUGAAUACUGCCACUGACCCCAAAAUGUGACCAGUAUACAAAGUCCUAAUAUGUUUAGUUACUUUUUCUAAUGUCCAAAAAAACCUGAUUGUGCCUUAUUAUCAAAAUUUGACUUUGAGCUAAGUGUGGUCGUACACACCUUUAAUUCCAGCCCUGUGCAGGCAGAGGCAGGGCCAUCUUUAGCCGGUGGAGGGCAGCCUAUUCCAUAGCAUGUCCCAGACUCUCCAGAGCUAUAUAGUAAAACCCUGUCUCAAAAUAGAAAAACAAAAC